Trichonephila inaurata madagascariensis is the source of this 72-nucleotide non-coding RNA. NCBI's taxonomy places the organism in Eukaryota, Metazoa, Arthropoda, Arachnida, Araneae, Nephilidae. The record is from the annotation of a GenBank genome assembly.
GUCCUUGUAGCGCAAUGGGUAGCGCGUUGGACCUCUAAUCCAAGUUCGUGGGCUCGAAUCCCACCAGGAAUA